UACAGAGGGUGCAAGCGUUGUUCGGAAUUAUUGGGCGUAAAGCGCGUGUAGGCGGCUUUGCAAGUCGGGUGUGAAAGCCCUCAGCUCAACUGAGGAAGUGCGCCCGAAACUGCAGAGCUUGAGUGCCGGAGAGGGUGGCGGAAUUCCCCAAGUAGAGGUGAAAUUCGUAGAUAUGGGGAGGAACACCGGUGGCGAAGGCAGCACUCUGGGACGUGACUGACGCUGAGACGCGAAAGCGUGGGGAGCGAACAGG
RNAcentral lists this ribosomal RNA (253 nucleotides) under uncultured bacterium. RNAcentral's name for it is "partial 16S ribosomal RNA". It matches the Rfam family "Bacterial small subunit ribosomal RNA", at positions 524 to 776 of the family's 1533-position model. The record is from RNAcentral.